Molecule: ribosomal RNA, 483 nt
Filed under: Streptococcus sanguinis
Lineage: Bacteria; Bacillati; Bacillota; Bacilli; Lactobacillales; Streptococcaceae
Description: bacterial SSU rRNA
Rfam family: Bacterial small subunit ribosomal RNA
Source: RNAcentral
GACGAACGCUGGCGGCGUGCCUAAUACAUGCAAGUAGAACGCUGAAGAGAGGAGCUUGCUCUUCUUGGAUGAGUUGCGAACGGGUGAGUAACGCGUAGGUAACCUGCCUGGUAGCGGGGGAUAACUAUUGGAAACGAUAGCUAAUACCGCAUAAAAUUGAUUAUUGCAUGAUAAUUAAUUGAAAGAUGCAAUUGCAUCACUACCAGAUGGACCUGCGUUGUAUUAGCUAGUUGGUGAGGUAACGGCUCACCAAGGCGACGAUACAUAGCCGACCUGAGAGGGUGAUCGGCCACACUGGGACUGAGACACGGCCCAGACUCCUACGGGAGGCAGCAGUAGGGAAUCUUCGGCAAUGGGGGGAACCCUGACCGAGCAACGCCGCGUGAGUGAAGAAGGUUUUCGGAUCGUAAAGCUCUGUUGUAAGAGAAGAACGGGUGUGAGAGUGGAAAGUUCACACUGUGACGGAUCUACCGAAAGGACGCA